This 483-nucleotide ribosomal RNA is filed under the name uncultured bacterium. Its description in RNAcentral is "partial 16S ribosomal RNA". It matches the Rfam family "Bacterial small subunit ribosomal RNA", at positions 30 to 507 of the family's 1533-position model. The record is from RNAcentral.
AUUGAACGCUGGCGGCAGGCCUAACACAUGCAAGUCGAGCGGAUGAAGGGAGCUUGCUCCUGGAUUCAGCGGCGGACGGGUGAGUAAUGCCUAGGAAUCUGCCUGGUAGUGGGGGAUAACGUCCGGAAACGGGCGCUAAUACCGCAUACGUCCUGAGGGAGAAAGUGGGGGAUCUUCGGACCUCACGCUAUCAGAUGAGCCUAGGUCGGAUUAGCUAGUUGGUGGGUAAAGGCCUACCAAGGCGACGAUCCGUAACUGGUCUGAGAGGAUGAUCAGUCACACUGGAACUGAGACACGGUCCAGACUCCUACGGGAGGCAGCAGUGGGGAAUAUUGGACAAUGGGCGAAAGCCUGAUCCAGCCAUGCCGCGUGUGUGAAGAAGGUCUUCGGAUUGUAAAGCACUUUAAGUUGGGAGGAAGGGCAGUAGGUUAAUACCUUGCUGUUUUGACGUUACCAACAGAAUAAGCACCGGCUAACUUCGUG